Molecule: transfer RNA, 73 nt
Filed under: Flavobacteriales bacterium
Lineage: Bacteria; Pseudomonadati; Bacteroidota; Flavobacteriia; Flavobacteriales
Description: tRNA-Val
Rfam family: tRNA
About the family: Transfer RNA (tRNA) molecules are approximately 80 nucleotides in length. Their secondary structure includes four short double-helical elements and three loops (D, anti-codon, and T loops). Further hydrogen bonds mediate the characteristic L-shaped molecular structure. tRNAs have two regions of fundamental functional importance: the anti-codon, which is responsible for specific mRNA codon recognition, and the 3' end, to which the tRNAs corresponding amino acid is attached (by aminoacyl-tRNA synthetases). tRNAs cope with the degeneracy of the genetic code in two manners: having more than one tRNA (with a specific anti-codon) for a particular amino acid; and 'wobble' base-pairing, i.e. permitting non-standard base-pairing at the 3rd anti-codon position.
Source: RNAcentral
AAGGUGUUAGCUCAAUUGGAAGAGCGCUUGCCAAACAAGCAAGAGGUUGCAAGUUCGAGUCUUGCACACCUUC